GGCGGCGUGCCUAAUACAUGCAAGUCGAGCGGACAGAUGGGAGCUUGCUCCCUGAUGUUAGCGGCGGACGGGUGAGUAACACGUGGGUAACCUGCCUGUAAGACUGGGAUAACUCCGGGAAACCGGGGCUAAUACCGGAUGGUUGUUUGAACCGCAUGGUUCAGACAUAAAAGGUGGCUUCGGCUACCACUUACAGAUGGACCCGCGGCGCAUUAGCUAGUUGGUGAGGUAACGGCUCACCAAGGCRACGAUGCGUAGCCGACCUGAGAGGGUGAUCGGCCACACUGGGACUGAGACACGGCCCAGACUCCUACGGGAGGCAGCAGUAGGGAAUCUUCCGCAAUGGACGAAAGUCUGACGGAGCAACGCCGCGUGAGUGAUGAAGGUUUUCGGAUCGUAAAGCUCUGUUGUUAGGGAAGAACAAGUGCCGUUCAAAUAGGGCGGCACCUUGACGGUACCUAACCAGAAAGCCACGGCUAACUACGUGCCAGCAGCCGCGGUAAUACGUAGGUGGCAAGCGUUGUCCGGAAUUAUUGGGCGUAAAGGGCUCGCAGGCGGUUUCUUAAGUCUGAUGUGAAAGCCCCCGGCUCAACCGGGGAGGGUCAUUGGAAACUGGGGAACUUGAGUGCAGAAGAGGAGAGUGGAAUUCCACGUGUAGCGGUGAAAUGCGUAGAGAUGUGGAGGAACACCAGUGGCGAAGGCGACUCUCUGGUCUGUAACUGACGCUGAGGAGCGAAAGCGUGGGGAGCGAACAGGAUUAGAUACCCUGGUAGUCCACGCCGUAAACGAUGAGUGCUAAGUGUUAGGGGGUUUCCGCCCCUUAGUGCUGCAGCUAACGCAUUAAGCACUCCGCCUGGGGAGUACGGUCGCAAGACUGAAACUCAAAGGAAUUGACGGGGGCCCGCACAAGCGGUGGAGCAUGUGGUUUAAUUCGAAGCAACGCGAAGAACCUUACCAGGUCUUGACAUCCUCUGACAAUCCUAGAGAUAGGACGUCCCCUUCGGGGGCAGAGUGACAGGUGGUGCAUGGUUGUCGUCAGCUCGUGUCGUGAGAUGUUGGGUUAAGUCCCGCAACGAGCGCAACCCUUGAUCUUAGUUGCCAGCAUUCAGUUGGGCACUCUAAGGUGACUGCCGGUGACAAACCGGAGGAAGGUGGGGAUGACGUCAAAUCAUCAUGCCCCUUAUGACCUGGGCUACACACGUGCUACAAUGGACAGAACAAAGGGCAGCGAAACCGCGAGGUUAAGCCAAUCCCACAAAUCUGUUCUCAGUUCGGAUCGCAGUCUGCAACUCGACUGCGUGAAGCUGGAAUCGCUAGUAAUCGCGGAUCAGCAUGCCGCGGUGAAUACGUUCCCGGGCCUUGUACACACCGCCCGUCACACCACGAGAGUUUGUAACACCCGAAGUCGGUGAGGUAACCUUUUAGGAGCCAGCCGCCGAAGGUGGGACAGAUGAUUGGGGUGAAGUCGUAACAAGGUAGCCGUAUCGGAAGGUGCGGCUGGAUCACCUCCUUUCUAAGGAUUUUAACGGAAUAUAAGACCUUGGGUCUUAUAAACAGAACGUUCCCUGUCUUGUUUAGUUUUGAAGGAUCAUUCGAUUCUUCGAGAUGUUGUUCUUUGAAAACUAGAUAACAGAAGUAAUUCACAUUCRAUUAGUAAUGCAAGAUAUCACGUAGUGAUUCUUUUUAACGGUUAAGUUAGAAAGGGCGCACGGUGGAUGCCUUGGCACUAGGAGCCGAUGAAGGACGGGACGAACACCGAUAUGCUUCGGGGAGCUGUAAGCAAGCUUUGAUCCGGAGAUUUCCGAAUGGGGAAACCCACCACUCGUAAUGGAGUGGUAUCCAUAUCUGAAUACAUAGGAUAUGAGAAGGCAGACCCGGGGAACUGAAACAUCUAAGUACCCGGAGGAAGAGAAAGCAAAUGCGAUUCCCUGAGUAGCGGCGAGCGAAACGGGACCAGCCCAAACCAAGAGGCUUGCCUCUUGGGGUUGUAGGACACUCUGUACGGAGUUACAAAGGAACGAGGUAGAUGAAGAGGUCUGGAAAGGCCCGCCAUAGGAGGUAACAGCCCUGUAGUCAAAACUUCGUUCUCUCCUGAGUGGAUCCUGAGUACGGCGGAACACGUGAAAUUCCGUCGGAAUCCGGGAGGACCAUCUCCCAAGGCUAAAUACUCCCUAGUGACCGAUAGUGAACCAGUACCGUGAGGGAAAGGUGAAAAGCACCCCGGAAGGGGAGUGAAAGAGAUCCUGAAACCGUGUGCCUACAAGUAGUCAGAGCCCGUUAACGGGUGAUGGCGUGCCUUUUGUAGAAUGAACCGGCGAGUUACGAUCCCGUGCAAGGUUAAGCAGAAGAUGCGGAGCCGCAGCGAAAGCGAGUCUGAAUAGGGCGAAUUGAGUACGUGGUCGUAGACCCGAAACCAGGUGAUCUACCCAUGUCCAGGGUGAAGUUCAGGUAACACUGAAUGGAGGCCCGAACCCACGCACGUUGAAAAGUGCGGGGAUGAGGUGUGGGUAGGGGUGAAAUGCCAAUCGAACCUGGAGAUAGCUGGUUCUCUCCGAAAUAGCUUUAGGGCUAGCCUCAAGGUAAGAGUCUCGGAGGUAGAGCACUGAUUGGACUAGGGGCCCCUACCGGGUUACCGAAUUCAGUCAAACUCCGAAUGCCGAUGACUUAUCCUUGGGAGUCAGACUGCGAGUGAUAAGAUCCGUAGUCGAAAGGGAAACAGCCCAGACCGCCAGCUAAGGUCCCAAAGUAUACGUUAAGUGGAAAAGGAUGUGGAGUUGCUUA
RNAcentral lists this ribosomal RNA (2781 nucleotides) under Bacillus amyloliquefaciens group sp. RNAcentral's name for it is "partial contains 16S ribosomal RNA, 16S-23S ribosomal RNA intergenic spacer, and 23S ribosomal RNA". Lineage: Bacteria; Bacillati; Bacillota; Bacilli; Caryophanales; Bacillaceae. The record is from RNAcentral.